RNAcentral lists this long non-coding RNA (675 nucleotides) under Echeneis naucrates (live sharksucker). RNAcentral's name for it is "lncRNA (ENSENLG00000007507.1)". The record is from RNAcentral. Lineage: Eukaryota; Metazoa; Chordata; Actinopteri; Carangiformes; Echeneidae.
AUGAAUCAGCUGAUUGGACAUAAAGAAGUUCUGGUUCUGACCAAACUGGAGCUCCAGCCGUCAUUCGGUUUAUCAGACGUUUUAGGGACGAAAGCUUCACAUGUCCUCUCUUUGUCCCCUGUCUCUCUCAGUGACGGGAUGACCGUCUUCAGUCCCGUGUCCUCGGCUCGGUACAGGCGCAGCAGCGUGUCCAUCAACCCCAGCUGUCCUUCACAGCUCGUCCCUUUGUCUCCGUUCUCUCUGACUGGAGACCACAAGAGACAGGAGGAGAACAUGGAGAUGACACUCAGAGGAAGUCUGCAGAGACUCAGUGGUUCCAGUCUGGUUCCAGUUCCUCCGGUGGCUCAGUGGACCGAUCAGACCUCAGUGUGGUUUCAGUCACAGGACAGCGGCGUCACACCUAACUCCUCCCCCAGUCCCACCAGGAGGUUCAGACCGGCAGUAAGAUGGCCGCCGCUAACGCCGCUGAAGAGGAAAGGGGGGGCAGAGUCUGACGGACCUCCAAAGAAGCUCUUUGUUGCCGGGGUAACAGACCCCGCCCACCGCAGUAGCUACACAGUCAGUGUCUCUCCGUCGGCGGCGGACUCUCCACCGACAGGAGGCGUCAGUCCUCAGUCCCUGUCUCCGCCCCCCUCCUUCACCCCCUUCAGCUCCCAGCAGCACCCUGGGCACUAA